UACGAAGGGUGCAAGCGUUACUCGGAAUUACUGGGCGUAAAGGGUGCGUAGGUGGUUUGUUAAGUCUGCUGUGAAAUCCCCGGGCUCAACCUGGGAAUGGCAGUGGAUACUGGCAAGCUAGAGUGCGGUAGAGGGUAGUGGAAUUCCCGGUGUAGCAGUGAAAUGCGUAGAGAUCGGGAGGAACACCAGUGGCGAAGGCGGCUACCUGGACCAGCACUGAUACUGAAGCACGAAAGCGUGGGGAGCAAACAGG
This 253-nucleotide ribosomal RNA is filed under the name uncultured bacterium. Its description in RNAcentral is "partial 16S ribosomal RNA". It matches the Rfam family "Bacterial small subunit ribosomal RNA", at positions 524 to 776 of the family's 1533-position model. The record is from RNAcentral.